Anopheles gambiae (African malaria mosquito) is the source of this 415-nucleotide long non-coding RNA. RefSeq lists it as uncharacterized. The transcript has 2 exons. The record is from RefSeq and is a predicted model, not a curated record. Lineage: Eukaryota; Metazoa; Arthropoda; Insecta; Diptera; Culicidae.
CGUGUUUUGCUUUCUACACAGUUUUCGCACUCACACAAUCACACAUGUGUGAAUGUGUGCGUUCACUUUCAGCCAGCGCGCUCAGUUUGGUUUUCUCGCAGCGGCUUGCUGGUGUCGGUGUCUUGCUCGCACUAGUGCAGCGAGUGUUCCUCGUGCGUUCCCUUUCUUGCUACCACACAAAAUCGUUAGUACAGUUCAAGCCUUCGCGGUGUGAGGCCGCGCGCGUUUUAGCCUAAGUCCCGGGCGCUCGAUUAUUCAACAUACACAACAUACAGGCAGUAAGGCGGGUGCUUGAAGUGACGAUUUUUUUUUAUUAUUUAUAAUAAAAAAUAUGUGUGGUUUUGUGGCAAGAUUGUGGUUAGCGAUGUGUGGAACUGUGCCUUAAGUUUCAAUAAAUUGUUAAAAUAUCAAACGA